CCCUUAGAUGGUCUGGGCGGCACGCGCGCUACAAUGAUGCAUUCAAAAAGUCUUCUGACCUUAGAAGGUUGGGUAUUCUCCAAAGUGCAUCGUGAUGGGAAUAGUUUAUUGCAAUUUUUAAUCUUGAACGAGGAAUUCCUAGUAAGUACAGGUCAUCAACUUGUGUUGAUUACGUCCCUGCCCUCUGUACACACCGCCCGUCGCUCCUACUGAUUGAGUGUCUCGGUGAAUUCUUUGAUCUUCUGUCGAUUCAGUUCACUGAUCCGACGGUGGAAAGUUGAAUGAACUUCGUCACUUAGAGGAAGGAGAAGUCGUAACA
RNAcentral lists this ribosomal RNA (319 nucleotides) under uncultured eukaryote. Its description in RNAcentral is "partial 18S ribosomal RNA". It matches the Rfam family "Eukaryotic small subunit ribosomal RNA", at positions 1470 to 1796 of the family's 1831-position model. The record is from RNAcentral.